RNAcentral lists this long non-coding RNA (2087 nucleotides) under Gossypium barbadense (sea-island cotton). RNAcentral's name for it is "long non-coding RNA (GBAR_LNC007513)". Lineage: Eukaryota; Viridiplantae; Streptophyta; Magnoliopsida; Malvales; Malvaceae. The record is from RNAcentral.
CGGCCUUAUUACAUUUAAAAACCCAAACCUCAACGUAAAUAAUAGGAUGUCCAGUUCACCAGAAGAAAACCAAACUUUCAGAACGGGUGGUCACUCCGAAUUCUCUCACAGCUCCAAGCCCACUAUGGUUGGGGAUUUCCUGCGUGGAUGAAAAUAAAAGGGUGAGUUUAGGGAAACUCAGUGUGUAAGGAAAACCCAUUCAAAGCCUAAGUCAGCUCAAGCCUAUUGGGCUUCAGGUAACAGUGGUACUGGACCAGAGCCCUUUUCAGAUUACAAUAAACUGGGCCUUAGCCCCUUAUUUAGAUAACAAUAUGGCCCAUAGGCCCAUUUCAAAAUACAUGCAACAUCAAUAACAUAUGCAAGCCCAUUUGGGGAGACUACUCAACCCACCAACCACUACACUCCACCCGUACCAGCCAUACACUCCAUGUGGGGAAUAGCUCAACCCACCCAGCCCAACACUCCACAGUUGCAGCCUUGCUGCUCAGUUAACAGUAAAUUGAGGCAAAGCCUCCAGUACGUGGACAAGCCACUUUCAGUACUUCCUCCGUCAAUAUCCCAGUCCCAUGCAUCAGAUAAUAACAACAUGGCAUGCAGUAAAUAACAACAGUCAAACAUGCAUUUAGGUCAAUUUAACCCUAGGGGUAUUUCGGUAAUUUAUCUCCUAGGGGUAAAACUGUAAAUUUUCCACUUUUAAAGAUAUUUCAGUAAUUUAUCUAUUUUAGGGUUUUUCAUGCAUAUUCCUACCUUUCACGUACUAACAGAAUCACUACCGAGGGUUCUUGCCGAAUUGGGCCCGUUGGCCCAUCAUUCCAAUUUUGGCCCAUUAAGCCCAAAAAUAUCAAGGGCACAGAAAUCAUGCACUUUGCAAUCCAAAUUUUGCAGUUUACCAAAAACAUUAAUCGAUUUACCUCACGAGCAUUCGCACACUCGCAAAUCUAUAAAAUACUGGUUUUCGGUAUUUCGGCUUUUCGACUUUUGCCGAUCCAGACUAAGAAAGAGGGUGUUAGUUACACACCUGUUUGCGACGAUAUGCUGACGAGAUCCACACACGAACCGCCUACAAUUGGAUUACUAACACGUUAAUCUAACUAUUCAAAUACAAACUACGUAUUAACCCCUUACAAUAUUCGGCCAACCACACCUACAGAUCAUAGUAAGCUUAUAAGAAAUCAAUAAGCAACUCAUUAACAAAUUUUUGUCAAUGUUUACCACAUAAUCAUAAUUUCACUGCAAGCUGUCUUCCUGAGCAACAGUCACUAAAUUAUUUAUAACUGGAGCUAAUAAACUCCAAAUCAAGUUCCAUUAAUUUUCCCUAAAAAUAGACUCAUAUAUCUUCUAUCCAUAAAAUUUUCAGAAUUUUUGGUUUAGCCAAUCAAUACCAGAUUUUUCUCAAAGUUUCCCAUGUUUCACUGUUUGACUAAUCUGACCACUCUUCAUUACGAAUCAAAUUUCUUAUUGUACAGAAUUCAAAAUAUGUUCUUGUUUAUUUCAUUAGAAACUAGACUCAAUAAGCUUUAAUUACAUAAUUUAUUCAGCUUCUAAUUCAUCUCCCACAAUUUAUGGUGAUUUUCCAAAGUCACGUUACUGCUGCUGUCCCAAGCAGAUUUAUUACCAAAUCACUCUUUCACACAUACCUUGCAUGCAUGUUAUUUAAACAUGUAUAUCACCAAUCAAUCAUCACAUAUCUAUGAUUUUACUUAAGAAUAAUCUCCAUUUCAUCAUUUUAAAGCACAACAUGUUAGCUGAUUUUUUCCCUUUAACAUCUAAGGCACAUGCAUGCUCAUUUGUUUGGCUCAACUUCACCUAUCUUCCAUUUUUCAUCAAAAGAACAUGAAACAACAACCAUUUCCUUCAUUUUAAUUCAUGACUAAAUGCUCACAACACAACUAAAAAUCAAAAUAUACUUCAAGAGUUAAGGUAGAAUCAAGAAGAACUCAUGAACCUCAAAAUAGAAACAAGGUACCAAGAACUUACCUUCAAUUUUCCUCCUCCUAAUGACCGAAUACUCAAGAGCUUUCUCCUCUCCUUUCUCUUCUCUAACUUUCAGCUAUGAUGAACAAAGAUGGACAAAACUUUGUUCUUUU